RNAcentral lists this ribosomal RNA (253 nucleotides) under uncultured bacterium. RNAcentral describes it as "partial 16S ribosomal RNA". It matches the Rfam family "Bacterial small subunit ribosomal RNA", at positions 524 to 776 of the family's 1533-position model. The record is from RNAcentral.
UACGAAGGGGGCUAGCGUUGCUCGGAAUCACUGGGCGUAAAGCGCGCGUAGGCGGGUCUUUAAGUCAGGGGCGAAAUCCUGGAGCUCAACUCCAGAACUGCCUUUGAUACUGAAGAUCUUGAGUUCGGGAGAGGUGAGUGGAACUGCGAGUGUAGAGGUGAAAUUCGUAGAUAUUCGCAAGAACACCAGUGGCGAAGGCGGCUCACUGGCCCGAUACUGACGCUGAGGCGCGAAAGCGUGGGGAGCAAACAGG